RNAcentral lists this ribosomal RNA (1064 nucleotides) under Clathrinidae sp. 9 JV-2020. Its description in RNAcentral is "partial large subunit ribosomal RNA". It matches the Rfam family "Eukaryotic large subunit ribosomal RNA", at positions 75 to 941 of the family's 3401-position model. Lineage: Eukaryota; Metazoa; Porifera; Calcarea; Clathrinida; Clathrinidae. The record is from RNAcentral.
UUCCCCUAGUAACGGCGAAGUGAAGCGGGAACAGCUCAAAUUUAAAAUCUGCGACGUCUUUCGUCGUAGAAUUGUAGUUAAGAGAAGUGUUUUCCCUGGGAUGCCCGCCGGCCUAAGUUGCUUGGAACAGCACGUCAUAGAGGGUGAGAACCCCGUCUGUGGCUCGGUGGGCGCCUGGUAUGAUGCACUUUCGACGAGUCGGGUUGUUUGGGAAUGCAGCCCUAACUGGGUGGUAAACUCCAUCUAAAGCUAAAUAUUGCCACGAGACCGAUAGCGAACAAGUACCGUGAGGGAAAGAUGAAAAGCACUUUGAAAAGAGAGUUAAAAGCACGUGAAACCGUUGAAAGGGAAACGCGCUCGGCUAGCAAUGUGCCUCGGCGGUUCAGCCGGUUUGGGGGUGGAGGUCGUCGUUGUCGGAUCCGAAUGGACCGCGGCGGCGGCCGUCCGCACUCGAGCCGCGGUGCACUCUGCCGGGGUACGCGUCAGCGUCGGUUCGCAGUUCAGGCGAUAAGGCACGAAGGGAAGGUAGCUCGUGGCUUGCCACGAGCAUUAUAGCCCUAUGUGCUGGGUCUGGUGCGGACCGAGGAGAGAGAGGAUCGCUGCAGCGCAUGCCGCAAGGCUAGCUACCCGUUGCUCGGUGUGCUUCACAGGCUGAGGACUGCACGCAGUGUUCGGCGUGGCGGAGUGGCCAGGUGGUGGAGUGGUAUAAAUGCGCUUAGGACGCUGGCGUCCAAAUGGCCGUGCGCGACCCGUCUUGAAACACGGACCAAGGAGUCUAACAUGUGCGCGAGUCUUUGGGUGUAGAAACCCGUGGGCGCAAUGAAAGUGAAGGUCCUCUCCGAGGGCUGAGGUGAGAGCCGGUCUUGCGGGAUCGGUGCAUCAUCGACCGGUCUAGUCUUCUCUAAGGUGGAUCCGAGUAAGAGCGUAUUUGUUGGGACCCGAAAGAUGGUGAACUAUGCCUGAAUAGGGUGAAGCCAGAGGAAACUCUGGUGGAGGCUCGUAGCGAUUCUGACGUGCAAAUCGAUCGUCAAAUUUGGGUAUAGGGGCGAAAGACUAAUCGAACC